UGGUCCUUGCUUGUUGGGUGGCCAGGAAAUAACAGCUUUGCACAGGCUGCUCAAGGUGAGGCUGCUUCUGAAGAAACCCAACAGUAGACUCUGGUGUGAAGAACAAAGACACACAGCUUGAGCCUGGGGAUGGACACCUCCCAGCAGCCCUGGCUGCCACUCACUGCUGUGCUGCAGCCUGAGAUGAGAAUACUGAUGUUCAGAGCAACCGACUGAACCCCUGGAAGUCACUCAUACUGAAAAUGGCAAAGCAGUAUCUGCCCCUGCUCUGUCCAAUGCUAACAGGACUGCUGAGGCCUCCCCUCCACCUCGCCUCAAGUUGACAUUGGGCCUGUGGAAAUAGACCUCUAAGCCAGCCUUUCUUGCUAGUUUGGUUUUAGCCUUUCUUGGACUCAGCUUUGCCAUCUGUGAAAUAUGUGAGUCAUCUAGAUAGUGUCUGAAACCUACCAGCUCCAAGUCUAUGGUCCACGGAUGGGCUGUGAGGACAAUCAAGACUGAGGCAGGUUUUCACUCAAGUCCUGGAAUAUCUGGUCAUCCUUCCAGGGUUCUUCAUGGCAGGGAAACAAAAUCAACAACUGAAGAACAUGAGGUUCAGGAGAUUUAAGUCUGAGUUCCAGUGUUGGCUUUGGGUGCCUCUAAUCAACCACAAAUCUAUCCCAAGCCCGAGGCAGGCUGGUCUUACUCAACAUUUAUGGGGUCUUGCAGGGCUUAUGAGUGAGCUCAUGUGGGUGAGCUGUGGGUACCACAGGACCAGCACAGAUUGCUCCAGCACAUUGUCCAGCCACGAGACAGAAUUUCCCUCUUACAGAUCCAUUGAAUAGCCCUGGCCUGUGGGUUUGCUGUAAAGAUGCAAAAGCCCUGAAGCAUUAUCUGCCAAACCUCAGCCCUGACCAUGGUUAGGCUGACAUCAGGGGAGGCAGCAGGAGAGGGAGAGAAAAGGGUAUCUCAUUGUGGAACUGGGGCAGUGGUGGGCAGGGGCUGAUGCAGGAGGGGUGCCAUGGCCCAACUGCUCUUCACCCACGGUCCUUACACAGACCUGAUCCUGCUAAUUCUGACUCAGCUUUCAGACUCAGCCUGCGGACACUCAAUUUUUAGUAAUAAGCA
RNAcentral lists this long non-coding RNA (1104 nucleotides) under Homo sapiens (human). RNAcentral's name for it is "HSALNT0144223". The record is from RNAcentral. Lineage: Eukaryota; Metazoa; Chordata; Mammalia; Primates; Hominidae.